UCCUUGAUUGGCUUGCAUGGGGAUAAAAUCUGGAGCCUGGGGGAGGUGAGUGACAUUUUGGAGCGAGAUGGCAAGAGGAACGGUGGCCACAUACCUGCAUGGAGUGCUUCUCCUGGCUCUGUGGAAACCUUCGCUGCAAGGAGGUGUAUACAUACCAACUGCUGGAGGAGCUGGAGCUGUUGCAGGAGUUGGGUUUGGACCAGGCAGCACAGGAACAGGAUUUGGCCCUGGAGGAACUGGUUUCCAACCUGGUGGUGGAGUUGGACAAGGUGUUGGUCAAGGUGGAGGAGGAUAUGGUGGACAAGAACCUGGGGGGUUUGGACCAGGAAGUGUAGGACUGGGAGGAGUUGGACCAGGAGGUGUUGGACCAGGUGGAGUUGGACCAGGAAGAGUUGGACCAGUGGGGGUUGGGCCAGGGGGAGUCGGAUCAGGAGGAGUUGGACCUGGUGGAGCCGGAUCAGGGGGGUUUGGACCAGGGGGAGUUGGACCGGGAAUAGUUGGACCAGGGGGGUUUGGGCCAGGGGGAGUCAGACCCGGAGGAGUCGGACCAGGAGGAGUCGGACCAGGAGGAGUCGGAUCAGGAGGAGUUGGACCAGGUGGAGUCGGACCAGGGGGAAUUGGACCAGGAGGAGUCGGACCAGGAGGAUUUGGACCAGGGUCAGUCGGACCAGGAGGAGUUGGGUCAGGGGGAAUCAGACCAGGAGGGAUUGUUCCUGGGGCUGGUGGGAAACCUCCAAAAACAGGUGGCUACGGUGGACAGGGAGCAGGACUGGGAGCAGGAGGUGUAGGGACCGGAGGAUAUGGACAAGGUGGUUUUGGUCCUCAACGCUAUGGAACUGGGUCUGGUGAAGUUGGUCCAAGUGGUUUUGGACAAACAGGCACUGGUCCAGGAUAUGGAGGCCUUGGAGCAGGGGGGCUGGGUGGAGGAGGCCUUGGUACAGGAGGUCCUGGUACUGGUCUGGGUCAAGGAGCUGGAGCAGGCUACAUACCUGGAGGUGGCUAUGGAGGAUAUGGUGGGGGUUAUGGACCCAAACCCCCCAAGACUGGUGGUGUUGGAACAUCACUUGGAAGAACAGGUUACGGCCCUGGUGGAACAGGGGUUGGGCCAAGUGGUGCAGGAAUAGGUUCUGGGGGUACAGGGCUUGGGUCAGGUGGAGCAGGAGUUGGUCCUGGUGGAACUGGACUUGGGCCAGGUGGAGCAGGAGUUGGUCCUGGUGGAACUGGACUUGGGCCAGGUGGUGCAGGAGUUGGUCCUGGGGGAGCAGGGUUUGGACCAGGUGGUGGAGGAAUUAAUCCUGGGGGUGCAGGGUUUGGACCAGGUGGAACUGGGCUCAGGCCAAGUGGAGCAGAAGUUGGUCCUGGGGGUACAGGAUUUGGACCAGGAGGAGCAGGAAUCGGUCCUGGGAGAGCAGGGUUUGGACCAGGUGGAAUUGGGCUUGGACUAGGUGGAGCAGGAGUUGGUCCUGGGGGUACAGGAUUUGGACCAGGAGAAGCAGGAGUUGGUCCUGGUGGAGGCGGUCCAGUGCUGCCACAGACUGGUACAACUGGUGGAGGACCUGGAGGAAAGAGUGGUGGUAAAGCAUCAAUGCAAGUUCCAGGAGUUGGGGUGCCUGGACUCUAUCAAGGUGGAUUUGUUCCAGGUCAAGGUUUUGGAGGCCGUGGCAUUCUCCCAGGAGUGGUUACAGGAAAUGGACUUGGGCCUCAAACUGGAGCCGGAGUACUUGGUCAAGGUGGGGCAGGACCAGGAGGAGCAGCCAAUGGGCGAGGUCAACAAUUCCCAGGAGUUUUUCGUGGUUACCCACUCAUAACACCAAAAUCAGGCACAGGGAAAUCAAAGAAACCAGGCAAAGCAGCUGCUAAAUAUGGGGGAGCUGGAGGAGGCACCAUUGGUCAGGGAGGCACAUUAGGGGGCGGGGCUGGAAGACUUCCUGGAGGGGGAGUCAUACCUGGAGUAGGCGGGGGAGUUGGAACAGGAGGGGUAUCUGGUGUAGGGGGCGGUGUUGGAACAGGACUGGGACCUGGAUUUGGAACAGGUGUGGGACCUGGAUUAGGGGGUGGUUUUGGAACAGGAUCGGGACCGGGAGUUGGGAGUGGUGUUGGAACAGGAAUGGGACCUGGAUUUGGAACAGGAGUGGGACCUGGAUUUGGAACAGGAGUGGGACUUGGAAUAGGUUAUGGUCCUGGCUCAGCCAAAGCACGCAAAUAUGGACCUGGUGGAACUGGAGCUGGCUUCAGCACUGGAGGGGGCACAGGUGAUGGCUAUGGGUUUGGUCCAGGCACUGGUUCAGCUGGAGGCGCUGGAGGUGGACAGCUAGGAGGAGUCAGUCUUAGGACAGGAGUGGGACCUGGCUCAGGGAUUGGUUUUGGUCUGGGUGGUGCUGCCACUGGAAUUGGACCAGGUGGUCAAGGCUACGGUCCAGGUGGAACUGGCACAGGAAUUGGAAGACCAGGAACUGGACCUGGAGGGAAUUAUAAUAUAGGUUAUGAUGCAGGUGCCAAAGCUCGUAAAUAUGGAAUGUUAAGUGGGAUGCUUGGAGGUCUAGGAUUAGGACCAGGCGAAGCUGCUACUGGAUAUAGGCCAGGUGGAGUCUCGCCAGGUGGCACUGGAACUGGCUAUGGACCAGGAGGAGUCGGGCCAGGUGGUGCUGGAACUGGCUAUGGACCAGGUGGAGUCGGGCCAGGUGGUGCUGGAACUGGCUAUGGGCCAGGAGGAGUCGGGUCAGGUGGUCCUGGAACUGGCUAUGGGCCAGGAGGAGUUGGGACUGGUAGCGCUGGAACUGGCUAUGGACCAGGAGGAGUCGGGCCAGGUGGUGCUGGAACUGGCUAUGGGCCAGGAGGAGUUGGGACUGGUGGCGCUGGAACUGGCUAUGGACCCGGAGGAGUCGGGCCAGGUGGUGCUGGAACUGGCUAUGGGCCAGGAGGAGUUGGGACUGGUGGUGCUGGAACUGGCUAUGGACCAGGAGGAGUUGGGCCAGGUGGUGCUGGAACUGGCUAUGGACCAGGAGGAGUUGGAACUGGUGGUGCUGGAACUGGCUAUGGACCAGGAGGUUCCAAAGCCCAAAAAUAUGGAGUGCCUGAGGGAGUGGGAGGUACCCUUGGUGCUGGAGGACUUGGCAGUGGUCCUGGACUGGGAGUUGGUGGAGGGAUUCCUGGACAAGGUGUUGGGCUGGCGACUGGUGGAGGUCCUGGCUCAGGGGUUGGGACAGCAGGGACCACUGGUUCUAGUUUUGGAACAGGAGGAAGACCAUUUGGCUUUGGACCAGGCAGUGUUGGAGGACAUCCUGGUGGGGCCAAGUCUCUCAAAUAUGGGCUUCCUGGUGGUGGAGGAGCUCCUGGAUCUGGUUUGGGUGGAAGGUUUGGUGUCACAACGGCAGGCACCUAUGGUCCAGGGAGUGGGGGAGCACUGGGAACAGGGUUAGGAUAUGGACCGGGAGCUGGAUCAGUACCUGGAACUGGUUAUGGACCAGGUGGAGGUUACACAGGACCAGGGACUGGAUAUGGACCAGGUUAUGGAACAAAAGUGAAACCUGCUAAAUACGGUCAAAGCGGUGGUGUACUUGGAGGUGGAGCAGGACGAGGUGGUUAUGGACCAGGAGGCUUUGGACCAGGGACAGGAGGUGCAGUGCAACCAGGAGGAGUAGCACCUGGUGCAGGAGCAGGUACCAGUCCAGGUGUUUCAGGGAACAGCACCAGUGGCGCAGCGUCAAGUGGGCCAGGAGAAAGGUUUGGAGGCCCAAGUGGAACACCGCCACCAUCACCAGAAGCUGAUAAUGUAAAUGCCAGUGGGAUAGAGGGCUCUGGAAUACCAGGUGAAGGAGGCACUGGUGUAGCUGGAAGGCCAGUUGGUGGUGAUGGAGAUGGUCUGAAUGGAACAGGAAUCCCCAUCAUUGGAGUGAAACCUGGAUUCAAUGGGAGCACAAUUUCAGUUUCCACAGGAGAUACUCCUGCUGGUGGUGUGGUUGCUAAACCUAGUGUAAGGCCAGGAUUUGGAGGGACAGCACUUCCCCCUAGAGGUCCUGGUGGUGACCUCUCUAGCAGAGCCCUGCCUGAUGCAAAACCCCUCAAACCUCCAGGUGUUCCUAGAGGAGACACACCAGGUGAAGGAGAUAGAGAAGGCAGUCCUGAUGGGGAGAUAGAUGGCUCAGUUGGAAGACCAGGUGGAGUUGGAGGAAGUCCCACUGGUUCAGGAUCAGCCGGAGGAGUUUCGGGUGGAGUAAUGGGAGUCGGACGAGGUGACAGUCCUGGUGGUGGAACUGGAGUUCAAUCAGGAGGUAUAACCACCGCUGUAGGAGGAACACCAAAGCCACCCCAAGCAUAUGGACAUGAUGGAACUCCAGCAGGAGGUGGGUCUGUUGGAGUUGGAGGGCUAGCAGGAGGAGUUGGAGGAGGUCCUGGAGGAACAAGCUUGGUACCUGGGGCUUCUGACUCUGGUGGAGUUGCAUCUGGAGUCCCAAAACCUGGAAAAAGCUAUGGUGCUGGUGGAGUUGGACUUUUACCAGGUGGAGGCGUACGGUACCCCAGUGGAGCCGGAGUGGGACAAGGAGCAGGAAAAGCAGGAAAAGCAUAUGGUGCUCGUGGAGCAGGAGGCCUAGGUGGGCUAGGACCUGGAGGUUACGGGACUGGAACAGGUGGCUAUGGUACAGGACCUGGUGGAUUUGGAACAGGACCUGGAGGUUAUGGAGGGCAAACAGGAAGUGGAUCCGCUGGUGGUCCUGGAGGUAUAGGGACUAUUGGUGUGGGAACUGGUCCAGGAAGAGCAGCAGGACCAGGAAGAGUUGAUAGUGGACUGGGAGGAUAUGGUGGUGGCGUAAGACCAGAUGGUUCUCGAUAUGGGACAGGUCCAGGAAUUGGAAAACCCCCCAAAAGUUAUGGAACAGGAGGUGCUGGUACCGCAUUUGGACCUGGCAGUUAUGGAACAGGACCAGGGGGAGUUGGUCUUGGUCCUGGUGGGUUUGGACCUGGCACUGGUGGCACAGGACUGGGUGGUGCAGGAACUGGACCUGGUAGUUUUGGGCCAGGUGGUGUUGGCCCAGGACCAGGUGGAUAUGGACCAGGUGGAGCAGGGGUCAUCCCUGGUGUUUAUGCUGCUGGAGGUCAAGGACUGGGUACAAGAAAACCACAAAAGACAGGUUAUGGAUCAUCAUUGGGUGGUGCUGGCUUUGGACAAGGUACAGGAUUUGGACCUGGAGGACCAGGCACUGCACCUGGCAGAUAUGGACCAGGCGGUGUUGGGACAGGACCCGGGUUUGGACCAGGUGGUGUUGGGACAGGACCCGGGUUUGGACCAGGCAGUGUUGGGACAGGAACUGGGUUUGGACCAGGUGGUGUUGGGACAGGAACUGGGUUUGGACCAGGCGGUGUUGGGACAGGACCCGGGUUUGGACCAGGCGGUGUUGGGACAGGAACUGGGUUUGGACCAGGCGGUGUUGGGACAGGAACUGGGUUUGGACCAGGCGGUGUUGGGACAGGAACUGGGUUUGGACCAGGUGGACAAACAUUAGGAAAACAAAAACCUUCUAAAUCUGGUUACGGCGGAACUGGUUAUGGAACAGGAGGUGUUGGAGGUGGUACUGGUCCUGGAGACACUGGAACUAGACCUGGAAGCUUUGGUCCCGGAGGAUAUGGACCAGGUGGAGCUGGGACAGGUCCUUCUGGUGGCUUUGUUCAAGGAGGUGUUGGACCUGGUGGUUUGGGUCCAGGAGGUGCUGGUACUGGUGGUUUUGGUCCAGGUGGUGCUGGAAGCUUACCAGGGGGUUUUGGACCUGGUGGCCAAAAUCUUGGAACAAGAAAGCCUGCUAAAUCUGGAUAUGGUUCAUCUUUGGGUGGAACUGGAUAUGGACCAGGAACAGGAGGUCUUUCUGGACCAGGAACAGGAGGUGCCAUAGGGGGAGGUCCGGGUACUGGUGUGGGGGGCCCAGGGGGAGCAGGAGGAACAAGCCAGACUGUAGGAGGAGUCGCUGGCCUUCCAGCAGGGGGUGCUGGUCCGGGAUAUGGUGGAGUAGCAGGAGGAGUAUAUCCAGGAUAUGCAGGAACUGGACAAAAAUCUAAGGCACAGAAGGCAGCUAAAUAUGCAGCCAUGCAGGCCUUUCUUGGAGGCUACAGAGGUGCUGGCUGUCAGGGUAACUACUGCGGGAGGAGGAGGAAAUGA
Molecule: long non-coding RNA, 6148 nt
Filed under: Nothobranchius furzeri (turquoise killifish)
Lineage: Eukaryota; Metazoa; Chordata; Actinopteri; Cyprinodontiformes; Nothobranchiidae
Description: lncRNA (ENSNFUG00015006561.1)
Source: RNAcentral